This 506-nucleotide ribosomal RNA is filed under the name uncultured bacterium. RNAcentral describes it as "partial 16S ribosomal RNA". It matches the Rfam family "Bacterial small subunit ribosomal RNA", at positions 29 to 523 of the family's 1533-position model. The record is from RNAcentral.
AGUGAACGCUGGCGGUAGGCCUAACACAUGCAAGUCGAACGGCAGCACAGGAGAGCUUGCUCUCUGGGUGGCGAGUGGCGGACGGGUGAGGAAUACAUCGGAAUCUACUUUUUCGUGGGGGAUAACGUAGGGAAACUUACGCUAAUACCGCAUACGACCUACGGGUGAAAGCAGGGGAUCUUCGGACCUUGCGCGACUGAAUGAGCCGAUGCCGGAUUAGCUAGUUGGCGGGGUAAAGGCCCACCAAGGAGACGAUCCGUCGCUGGUCUGAGAGGAUGAUCAGCCACACUGGAACUGAGACACGGUCCAGACUCCUACGGGAGGCAGCAGUGGGGAAUAUUGGACAAUGGGCGCAAGCCUGAUCCAGCCAUACCGCGUGGGUGAAGAAGGCCUUCGGGUUGUAAAGCCCUUUUGUUGGGAAAGAAAUCCAGCUGGUUAAUACCCGGUUGGGAUGACGGUACCCAAAGAAUAAGCACCGGCUAACUUCGUGCCAGCCGCCGCCGUAA